UACAUGGGGUGCAAACGUUGCUCGGAAUUAUUGGGCGUAAAGGGCUCGUAGGCGGUUUGUCGCGUCGGGAGUGAAAACACGGGGCUUAGCCCCGUGCCUGCUUCCGAUACGGGCAGACUAGAGGUAUGCAGGGGAGAACGGAAUUCCUGGUGUAGCGGUGAAAUGCGCAGAUAUCAGGAGGAACACCGGUGGCGAAGGCGGUUCUCUGGGCAUUACCUGACGCUGAGGAGCGAAAGUGUGGGGAGCGAACAGG
This 253-nucleotide ribosomal RNA is filed under the name uncultured bacterium. RNAcentral's name for it is "partial 16S ribosomal RNA". It matches the Rfam family "Bacterial small subunit ribosomal RNA", at positions 524 to 776 of the family's 1533-position model. The record is from RNAcentral.